AGGAAUCUGAGAAGUGCGGCGAAGCGGCCAGUCGCGGAAGGAUAUGGGGAAAUCACCGCAGCCUGAGGUGAGAACCUGGGACUGUGAUGUCAGUGCAUUAGCAGAAGGAAGUAAUGCUUCCUGCAGGAAAGAUGGCAGUUUUGAUCUUCUAGAAGCAAGCCAUGAUCUGACUGGAAGAUGAAAACAGAGCAAGCCAAACUGCAGCAGUAACACCAACUCAUUCUGCAAGAGCAUAGUUCAGAGGAGGAUUAUGGCUCGUGGACUGCAGGACAGAACACUUGGCUAGAGAUACCAUGCAAGACGUGCGAAGUCAACACAUUGUUGCACUCUCUAUCCAUAAAGGGGGCUGUAAAUUCUUUGCUGAUUUGCUGGAUGAUAUAAAAGCACUCAAUCAAAAUGGUGGU
Molecule: long non-coding RNA, 404 nt
Organism: Prinia subflava (tawny-flanked prinia)
Lineage: Eukaryota; Metazoa; Chordata; Aves; Passeriformes; Cisticolidae
Exons: 3
Source: RefSeq, a predicted model, not a curated record